RNAcentral lists this ribosomal RNA (506 nucleotides) under uncultured bacterium. RNAcentral's name for it is "partial 16S ribosomal RNA". It matches the Rfam family "Bacterial small subunit ribosomal RNA", at positions 29 to 523 of the family's 1533-position model. The record is from RNAcentral.
AGUGAACGCUGGCGGUAGGCCUAACACAUGCAAGUCGAACGGCAGCACAGGAGAGCUUGCUCUCUGGGUGGCGAGUGGCGGACGGGUGAGGAAUACAUCGGAAUCUACUCUGUCGUGGGGGAUAACGUAGGGAAACUUACGCUAAUACCGCAUAGGACCUACGGGUGAAAGCAGGGGACCUCCGGGCCUUGCGCGAUUGAAUGAGCCGAUGUCGGAUUAGCUAGUUGGCGGGGUAAGGGCCCACCAAGGCGACGAUCCGUAGCUGGUCUGAGAGGAUGAUCAGCCACACUGGAACUGAGACACGGUCCAGACUCCUACGGGAGGCAGCAGUGGGGAAUAUUGGACAAUGGGCGCAAGCCUGAUCCAGCCAUACCGCGUGGGUGAAGAAGGCCUUCGGGUUGUAAAGCCCUUUUGUUGGGAAAGAAAUCCAGCUGGCUAAUACCCGGUUGGGAUGACGGUACCCAAAGAAUAAGCACCGGCUAACUUCGUGCCAGCAGCCGCCGUAA